AUACGGAAGGUCCGGGCGUUAUCCGGAUUUAUUGGGUUUAAAGGGAGCGCAGGCGGAGAUGCAAGCGUGACGUCAAAUUUCGGGGCUCAACCCCGUCUCGCGUCGCGAACUGCGUCCCUUGGUUGCGGGAAGGGGAGGCGGAACUCGUGGUGUAGCGGUGAAAUGCAUAGAUAUCACGAAGAACUCCGAUCGCGAAGGCAGCCUUCCGGCCCGUCAACGACGCUCAUGCUCGAAGGUGCGGGUAUCAAACAGGAUUAGAUCCCCUGGUAGUCCGCACAGUAAACGAUGGACACCCGCGGUUUGGCCUGUAUGGCUGAGCCGCCAAGCGAAAGCGUUAAGUGUCCCACCUGGGGAGUACGCCGGCAACGGUGAAACUCAAAGGAAUUGACGGGG
RNAcentral lists this ribosomal RNA (393 nucleotides) under uncultured bacterium. RNAcentral's name for it is "partial 16S ribosomal RNA". It matches the Rfam family "Bacterial small subunit ribosomal RNA", at positions 523 to 918 of the family's 1533-position model. The record is from RNAcentral.